GUGCUCGUAGCUCAGCUGGAUAGAGCAUCGGCCUUCUAAGCCGAGGGUCUGGGGUUCGAAUCCCCACGGGCACA
Molecule: transfer RNA, 74 nt
Filed under: Lachnospiraceae bacterium
Lineage: Bacteria; Bacillati; Bacillota; Clostridia; Lachnospirales; Lachnospiraceae
Description: tRNA-Arg
Rfam family: tRNA
About the family: Transfer RNA (tRNA) molecules are approximately 80 nucleotides in length. Their secondary structure includes four short double-helical elements and three loops (D, anti-codon, and T loops). Further hydrogen bonds mediate the characteristic L-shaped molecular structure. tRNAs have two regions of fundamental functional importance: the anti-codon, which is responsible for specific mRNA codon recognition, and the 3' end, to which the tRNAs corresponding amino acid is attached (by aminoacyl-tRNA synthetases). tRNAs cope with the degeneracy of the genetic code in two manners: having more than one tRNA (with a specific anti-codon) for a particular amino acid; and 'wobble' base-pairing, i.e. permitting non-standard base-pairing at the 3rd anti-codon position.
Source: RNAcentral